UGAGGAAUAUUGGGCAAUGCCCGAAAGGGUGACCCAGCAACGCCGCGUGGAGGAUGAAGGCCGUAAGGUCGUAAACUCCUUUUAGUGGGGACGAAACAUCAUACUUCGCAAGGGGUAUGACUUGACUGUACCCACAGAAAAAGCCCCGGCUAACUACGUGCCAGCAGCCGCGGUAAUACGUAGGGGGCCAGCGUUGUCCGGAUUCACUGGGUAUAAAGGGCGCGCAGGCGGGCCUGCAAGUCAGAGGUGAAAGCCUGUAGCUUAACUACAGAACUGCCUUUGAAACUGUAGGCCUUGAGUAUGGAAGAGAGAGACGGAAUUCCAGGUGUAGUGGUGAAAUACGUAGAUAUCUGGAAGAACAUCGGUGGCGAAAGCGGUCUCUUGGUCCAUCACUGACGCUGAGGCGCGAAAGCGUGGGGAGCAAACA
RNAcentral lists this ribosomal RNA (427 nucleotides) under uncultured bacterium. RNAcentral describes it as "bacterial SSU rRNA". It matches the Rfam family "Bacterial small subunit ribosomal RNA", at positions 355 to 774 of the family's 1533-position model. The record is from RNAcentral.